GACGAACGCUGGCGGCGUGCUUAACACAUGCAAGUCGAACGGAAAGGCCCUGCUUUUGUGGGGUGCUCGAGUGGCGAACGGGUGAGUAACACGUGAGUAACCUGCCCUUGACUUUGGGAUAACUUCAGGAAACUGGGGCUAAUACCGGAUAGGAGCUCCUGCUGCAUGGUGGGGGUUGGAAAGUUUCGGCGGUUGGGGAUGGACGCGCGGCUUAUCAGCUUGUUGGUUGGGUAGUGGCUUACCAAGGCUUUGACGGGUAGCCGGCCUGAGAGGGUGACCGGCCCCAUUGGGCCUGAGAUACGGCCCAGACGCCUACGGGAGGCAGCAGUGGGGAAUAUUGCACAAUGGGCGGAAGCCUGAUGCAGCAACGCCGCGUGCGGGAUGACGGCCUUCGGGUUGUAAACCGCUUUCGCCUGUGACGAAGCGUGAGUGACGGUAAUGGGUAAAGAAGCACCGGCUAACUACGUG
Molecule: ribosomal RNA, 468 nt
Filed under: uncultured bacterium
Lineage: Bacteria
Description: partial 16S ribosomal RNA
Rfam family: Bacterial small subunit ribosomal RNA
Source: RNAcentral